This 562-nucleotide long non-coding RNA is filed under the name Coffea arabica (coffee). RNAcentral's name for it is "long non-coding RNA (CARA_LNC007157)". The record is from RNAcentral. Lineage: Eukaryota; Viridiplantae; Streptophyta; Magnoliopsida; Gentianales; Rubiaceae.
AGAACCGACAGAAGGGAUUAGGGCGGCUAAAACAGAAACGGGGAAAUGAGAACGGCGGCCAAGGGAAAAAUUGAAGGUUUCAGCUGGAACAAGGGAAAGAAAAGAGGAAGCUGCGGAAGAGCUAAGAGAAAUAGAGAGGAAAAAGGGUGACGAUUGGCGGCUGAUGGCCAGAAAACUGAAGCGGAACAAGGAAAAUCGAGAAGGAAGCUGCGGCUGAAAUCUGGAACUUGGAGAAGGAAUUUCGGGCAAUAAGGAAAGGAAAAAGAAGAAGAGCUUGGGCAAAGGAGUUGAGUCUUCUAGUCAGCACCUGAAUCCACCACCAUCACCUGCGAAUUCACCGAUGAUUAGCACUGUAAACUUUCUUUUCCUUCUCUAAAUUUCGAGUUUCAGUGUUGGAUUGUUGAAGCUUUUAUUGUUUAUUUUUCUGAGAUUGUUUUUUAGUUGCCUGUGUAUUCAUAUGUGAUUUCAUGAUUGUGUAUGCUGUUGAUGUUCAUUGGACUGCAAUUUGUAGAGAUAAAAAUUCUGGGCCCUUAUCCGACAAAAAGAAGGAGGAAUUUCCUUC